Molecule: transfer RNA, 92 nt
Filed under: Streptomyces aureoverticillatus
Lineage: Bacteria; Bacillati; Actinomycetota; Actinomycetes; Kitasatosporales; Streptomycetaceae
Description: tRNA-Arg
Source: RNAcentral
UGGCGCCGUGCGCCGCGGGAGCGGUGCUGCUUGCGGUGCUGCUGGGGAUGGGCUGACGCGUCCGUCCUGGUCGCAGCAGGGGGGUGCCGUCC